UACGGAGGAUGCGAGCGUUAUCCGGAUUUAUUGGGUUUAAAGGGUGCGUAGGCGGCGAGUUAAGUCAGCGGUAAAAGCCCGGGGCUCAACCCCGGCCCGCCGUUGAAACUGGCAGUCUUGAGUACAGUAGAGGUGGGCGGAAUUCGUGGUGUAGCGGUGAAAUGCAUAGAUAUCACGCAGAACUCCGAUUGCGAAGGCAGCAUACCGGCGCCCGACUGACGCUGAGGCACGAAAGCGUGGGUAUCGAACAGG
This 252-nucleotide ribosomal RNA is filed under the name uncultured Bacteroidales bacterium. RNAcentral's name for it is "partial 16S ribosomal RNA". It matches the Rfam family "Bacterial small subunit ribosomal RNA", at positions 524 to 776 of the family's 1533-position model. The record is from RNAcentral. Lineage: Bacteria; Pseudomonadati; Bacteroidota; Bacteroidia; Bacteroidales.